GCUUUAGUGGCGCAACUGGUUAGCGCGCCCUGUAGUUAUAGACAAGUAUCGUCCCCUUGCUUAGAAAUGCAGUGGCUGAGUUCGAGUCCCACACCUGGAACA
This 102-nucleotide transfer RNA is filed under the name Dreissena polymorpha. RNAcentral's name for it is "tRNA-Ile". Lineage: Eukaryota; Metazoa; Mollusca; Bivalvia; Myida; Dreissenidae. The record is from RNAcentral.